GAUGGUUCUUGGGUGACGCAUCCCGGAAUCAGGCUUCCUCCUUUCUGGUUCCCGGUGCGUCAACCGGGAACCACA
This is a non-coding RNA of Myotis davidii, 75 nucleotides long. The record is from Rfam. Lineage: Eukaryota; Metazoa; Chordata; Mammalia; Chiroptera; Vespertilionidae.